UCGUUAAGGCUGGGCUGUGAUGGGGAGGGAAAAUUUACAGUACCGAAGGUCAUGAUCUCACACUGCCAAGAAAAGCCUCUAGCCAGGAGAAGGUGCCCGUACCGCAAACCGACACAGGUAGGCGAGAAGAGAAUUCUAAGGCGCGCGGAAGAACUCUCGUUAAGGAACUCGGCAAAAUGACCCCGUAACUUCGGGAGAAGGGGUGCCCCGGUAGAGUGAAUAGCUCGAGGGGGCCGCAGUGAAAAGGCCCAAGCGACUGUUUAGCAAAAACACAGGUCUGUGCGAAGCCGCAAGGCGAAGUAUACGGGCUGACGCCUGCCCGGUGCUGGAAGGUUAAGGGGAGUGGUUAGGGGUAACCCGAAGCUAUGAACCGAAGCCCCAGUAAACGGCGGCCGUAACUAUAACGGUCCUAAGGUAGCGAAAUUCCUUGUCAGGUAAAUUCUGACCCGCACGAAUGGCGUAACGACUUGGGCGCUGUCUCAACGAGAGAUCCGGUGAAAUUUUAAUACCUGUGAAGAUGCAGGUUACCCGCGACAAGACGGAAAGACCCCAUGGAGCUUUACUGCAGCUUGAUAUUGGACUUUGAUACGAUUUGUACAGGAUAGGUGGGAGCCUAGGAAGCCGGAGC
Molecule: ribosomal RNA, 628 nt
Filed under: Salmonella enterica subsp. enterica serovar Muenchen
Lineage: Bacteria; Pseudomonadati; Pseudomonadota; Gammaproteobacteria; Enterobacterales; Enterobacteriaceae
Description: partial 23S ribosomal RNA
Rfam family: Bacterial large subunit ribosomal RNA
Source: RNAcentral